RNAcentral lists this ribosomal RNA (222 nucleotides) under uncultured bacterium. Its description in RNAcentral is "partial 16S ribosomal RNA". It matches the Rfam family "Bacterial small subunit ribosomal RNA", at positions 524 to 745 of the family's 1533-position model. The record is from RNAcentral.
UACGUAGGGUGCAAGCGUUGUCCGGAAUCAUUGGGCGUAAAGCGCGCGUAGGUGGCUUCGUAAGUCCGUUGUGAAAGUCAAAGGCUCAACCUUUGAAUGCCGAUGGAUACUGCGAAGCUAGAGUACGGAAGAGGCGAGUGGAAUUCCUGGUGUAGCGGUGAAUGCGCAGAUAUCAGGAGGAACACCAAUAGCGAAGGCAGCUCGCUGGGACGGUUACUGACA